Molecule: ribosomal RNA, 465 nt
Filed under: uncultured Klebsiella sp.
Lineage: Bacteria; Pseudomonadati; Pseudomonadota; Gammaproteobacteria; Enterobacterales; Enterobacteriaceae
Description: bacterial SSU rRNA
Rfam family: Bacterial small subunit ribosomal RNA
Source: RNAcentral
CCUACGGGCGGCAGCAGUGGGGAAUAUUGCACAAUGGGCGCAAGCCUGAUGCAGCCAUGCCGCGUGUGUGAAGAAGGCCUUCGGGUUGUAAAGCACUUUCAGCGGGGAGGAAGGCGGUGAGGUUAAUAACCUCAUCGAUUGACGUUACCCGCAGAAGAAGCACCGGCUAACUCCGUGCCAGCAGCCGCGGUAAUACGGAGGGUGCAAGCGUUAAUCGGAAUUACUGGGCGUAAAGCGCACGCAGGCGGUCUGCCAAGUCGGAUGUGAAAUCCCCGGGCUCAACCUGGGAACUGCAUUCGAAACUGGCAGGCUAGAGUCUUGUAGAGGGGGGUAGAAUUCCAGGUGUAGCGGUGAAAUGCGUAGAGAUCUGGAGGAAUACCGGUGGCGAAGGCGGCCCCCUGGACAAAGACUGACGCUCAGGUGCGAAAGCGUGGGGAGCAAACAGGAUUAGAUACCCUUGUAGUC